GAUGAACGCUGGCGGCGUGCCUAAUACAUGCAAGUCGAGCGCACGGACGAGAAGCUUGCUUCUCUGAUGUUAGCGGCGGACGGGUGAGUAACACGUGGAUAACCUACCUAUAAGACUGGGAUAACAUCGGGAAACCGGAGCUAAUACCGGAUAAUAUUUUGAACCGCAUGGUUCAACAGUGAAAGACGGCCUUGCUGCCACUUAUAGAUGGCACCGCGCUGCAUUGUCAAGUUGGUAAGGUAAAGGCAUACCAAGGCCACGGUGCAUAGCCGACCUGGGAGGCUGGUCGGCCACACUGGAACUGAGACACGGUCCAGAGUCCUACGGGAGGCAGCAGUAGGGAAUCUUCCGCAAUGAGCGAAAGCCUGACGGAGGAACGCCGCGUGGGGGAUAGAGGUCUUCGGAUCGUAAAACUCUGUUAUUGGGGAAGAACAUAUGUGUAAGUAACUGUGCACACCGUGACGGUACCUAAGCAGAAAGCCACGGCUAACUACGUG
Molecule: ribosomal RNA, 497 nt
Filed under: uncultured bacterium
Lineage: Bacteria
Description: partial 16S ribosomal RNA
Rfam family: Bacterial small subunit ribosomal RNA
Source: RNAcentral